CAAUAACUUUGCAUUUAGAGUAGUCAUUUCCUCGCGUAUUUUGUACAUGAAUUUGUUCAUGAAAACUGUAAACAGUUCAAACAACAAACAAUAACAUUACACAGCACAGUAGCAACUGGGUCAAACCAUCAGCCUUUCUGGCUCCAAUCACUCAUUUGACCAAUUUGGACAAUACUAUUUUCAGUCAAGUACUCGACAAAUUCAUCUAUAAGAUAUGGCCAAGCUCCUUCAGCAUCAUAGUUUGUUAAUGCAGGGUCCACAUUCCUUGCAAAUUCCAGGAGCUGAGACCAAGUAUCCCGUGAAAUAGCCUUGUUAUGCCUUGCCUGCAAAAACUGACACCAAUGCUCAACCAAUGGCCACUCCUUUUCAGCAAACAGCAAUUGCCACAUCCCAAUAGCCGUGUCCAAGGCCAAAGAUUUCUGACCCUUCUCCUUUGCCCAGCUGAAAGCAAAGUUGUAAAUCUCACGGAAUUUAUGUUCAUCUUUCAUCUCUGAUCGCAUAAAUGGCAAUUUCUCUCUGAGCUUUUCCAAUGAAUCUAUUCCGAGAGAUUGUAAUCCACCAAU
Molecule: unclassified non-coding RNA, 563 nt
Filed under: Hevea brasiliensis (rubber tree)
Lineage: Eukaryota; Viridiplantae; Streptophyta; Magnoliopsida; Malpighiales; Euphorbiaceae
Source: RNAcentral